This 310-nucleotide ribosomal RNA is filed under the name uncultured bacterium. Its description in RNAcentral is "bacterial SSU rRNA". It matches the Rfam family "Bacterial small subunit ribosomal RNA", at positions 30 to 334 of the family's 1533-position model. The record is from RNAcentral.
AUUGAACGCUGGCGGCAGGCCUAACACGUGCAAGUCGAGCGGAAACGAAGAGGAGCUUGCUCCUUUGGCGUCGAGCGGCGGACGGGUGAGUAAUGCCUAGGAAAUUGCCUUGAUGUGGGGGAUAACCAUUGGAAACGAUGGCUAAUACCGCAUAAUGCCUACGGGCCAAAGAGGGGGAUCUUCGGACCUCUCGCGUCAAGAUAUGCCUAAGUGGGAUUAGCUAGUUGGUGAGGUAAUGGCUCACCAAGGCGACGAUCCCUAGCUGGUCUGAGAGGAUGAUCAGCCACACUGGAACUGAGACACGGUCCAG